RNAcentral lists this ribosomal RNA (987 nucleotides) under Triticum aestivum (bread wheat). Its description in RNAcentral is "partial small subunit ribosomal RNA". Lineage: Eukaryota; Viridiplantae; Streptophyta; Magnoliopsida; Poales; Poaceae. The record is from RNAcentral.
AUGAGGACCAUGUGUUGGAACUGCCACGGAAUUAGCGAUCCCGCGACAGUUAGGGAGCUCCGCGAUCUCGUGGAGGCGUGUGCGUCGUUGAUCCUUUGCAUUGUUGAAACUCAGCUUGCGAAGGCUCGAGUGGAGGGUUUGGCUGGUUCUUUAGGCUUUUCAGGCAGCUUUGCAGUUCCUAGUAGUGGUCGUAGUGGUGGUUUGUGUAUUUUUUGGAAGGAUCAUGUUAAUCUUGCAAUAAAUAAUUUUUUGUAGUAUCACAUAGACCCAUGGAUUACACAGCUAGGUGUUGAUGCUUGGUGUUUAACUUGCUUCUAUGGUCAAGCUAAUAGAAGCCUGUGACAUAAUACUUGGGAGACGAUGAAGAGGCUAAGAGGGGAGAGCACACUCCCAUGGGUGUGUAUUAGAGAUUUUAACGAAGUGUUGCGCCCGGAGGAGCAUAUGGGUACUAACGCCCGAGAUAGUGGUCAGAUAGCAGGGUUCAGAGAAGUCGUGGAUAUAUGUGAGCUUGCUAACCUUUGGUACAGAGGACUUGACUGGACGUGGGAAAAGAGAGUAAGAGGGGGCGAGUUCUGCAGAGUGCGUUUGGAUCGUGCGUUGGCUAGUCCUAGCUGGUCGACACUAUUCCCGUUUGCAUCUCUUGAGCACCUCACAGCAGCCAAAUCAGAUAAUUGCCCUAUUCUGCUUAAUACAGAGUUGGAGACAACAAGCAUGAGACAUGUUCUAAAAAAACCUUUCCGAUACGAGUGUAUGUGGGAGACAAAGGAACAUUUUCAUCAAGUUGUGGAGGAAUCUUGGAACCGUAAUCAACCUUCCAUGUCAGUCUCGGACCUAGCUUCGAAGCUCAACUCAGUUGUUUCCGCGCUAGCUUGGUGGGGGCGUCGUUCUUUUGGUUCAGUCCAACAGGAGCUUCGCUCCUUACGACGACAGCUGGCCGAUCUGCGGGAAGUGUGGGGUCGAGUAGGACCAAGUGAGGAGGAACUGUGA